GACGAACGCUGGCGGCGUGCUUAACACAUGCAAGUCGAACGGAAAGGCCCUGCUUUUGUGGGGUGCUCGAGUGGCGAACGGGUGAGUAACCCGUGAGUAACCUGCCCUUGACUUUGGGAUAACUUCAGGAAACUGGGGCUAAUACCGGAUAGGAGCUCCUGCUGCAUGGUGGGGGUUGGAAAGCUUCGGCGGGUGGGGAUGGACUCGCGGCUUAUCAGCUUGUUGGUGGGGUAGUGGCUUACCAAGGCCUUGACGGGUAGCCGGCCUGGGAGGGUGACCGGCCACAUUAGGACUGAGAUACGGCCCAGACUCCUACGGGAGGCAGCAGGGGGGAGUAUUGCACAAUGGGCGGGAGCCUAAUACAGCAACGCCGCGUGCGGGAAGUCGUCCUUCAGGUUGUGAACCGCUUUCGCCUAUGACGAAGCGUGAUUGACGGUAAUGGGUAAAGAAGCACCGGCUAACUACGUG
RNAcentral lists this ribosomal RNA (468 nucleotides) under uncultured bacterium. Its description in RNAcentral is "partial 16S ribosomal RNA". It matches the Rfam family "Bacterial small subunit ribosomal RNA", at positions 28 to 507 of the family's 1533-position model. The record is from RNAcentral.